UGCUGUAAAGUCCGUUUUGCGCUUCUAUUUGUGAUGUCAUUCUCUUCUCAUCUCUUUCGCAGACCGAUCAUACAAAGCCAAUUUUUUCUUUGAGGGUUUAUUGUUACCAAUAAAUCUGUACUUGAGUUUCUCUAUUCAACUAGCUUGUAAUCGCUCAUUGCUGGCUCUGCAAUUUUGUCAUUCAUCUUUGAUCUCUCUUAGUUACUUUAUAAUCUUUUCGAUGGUGAAGACGAGGAGUAAGACGUCUUCAAGCUUAUGCUCGUUGCUCAAUUACAUCCGUAGAAAAAGUCAGUGAGGCGCGUCUAGACUUAAAACAUCCACAUCGAGAGAGGGCGAUUCAAGAUUGCAAGAAAGAUUCCCGAUUGCUCAGAAAAUAUGUGGCCGCACAUGUAAAACGGAUUUGUCAAAUUUGAAGUUAAAUAAACGUCUCUCACUAUAUUUUACCACCAAACUAUAUAUCAAUGAGCGAUGGCUCUCAGGAUCAAGUUGGAGGUACACCAGUCCCUAUUUUUCUUUGCUUAUGUAUUAUCUACAAGUGUCGAGCAACCUUUAUUUCAUAUAUACAUAGUCCUCAGGAUUUUCGUUUUAAAAGACGGAUGGCUAACCAGUUCUAGAUGAAACAAUUGCUGAUUUGUUUUCUUCCAGUGGUGAAGGCUAGUCAUUUUACAGCUUUCUGCUCUAUCAUUUACGUUUCAUGUAGAAACUAAUGUUUAAUAUUAUUUUGUACAUUGUACUUGUUUGAUAUUGACAUCAUCAUGUUAUCUCUCAUGUGAGAUUCAUGUCCAAAACUUAAAUUUUGCUGAUUUGUUUAUGAAAUUUCAUGAACUUUUUUAUGUGUUUCACUCUCUUAACUUUUCUUUCUCAUUCGUUUGACUUUUAAAAUUCCUAAGGAAUUGAACACUCUGUCUGAAGGUAAGGAGAUAAUAUUUGGCAUUCUGCAUUUUGUCACUGCAAUUUUAAUUGGUUUCCCUUUGGGUUUAGUCAUCUGCCUUGGUUUUAGGGCAUAGGUUUGAACACUCACUCAGCUGCACUCACUCCAUCGUUAAAUUGGUUUCCCUUGGGUUUAGUCAUCUGCCUUGGCUUUAGGGUAUAGUUUGAACACUCACUCUAUCGUUAAAUUUGUUUCCCUUGGGUUUAGUCAUUUGUCUUGGCUUUAGGGUAUAGUUUUGAACACUCACUCCAUCGUUAAGUUUGUUUUCCUUGGCUUUAGGGACUAGGGUAUAGUUUUGAACACUCACUCUAUCGUUAAAUUUGUUUCCCUUGGGUUUAGUCAUAUGUCUUGGCUUUAGGGUAUAGUUUUGAACACUCACUUCAUCGUUAAAUUGGUUUCCCUUGGGUUCAUUCAUCCAUCUUGGCUUUAGGGUAUAGUUAUGAUUUAUGAACACCGAAGAACAGGAGCAUACCUGGGGGAACAGGAGAGGACUAGAGGAUGCAUGUUGAUUGAGUAGGAGAGCGAGCAAUCAACUCUGCUGCCAACGAGCUGAGAAGCCGGUGUGACUUGACGAUAAAACACAUAUUAAGGUUUGUGUGGACAAAGAAACACUGAAAACAUUAUGUAUUUUAUCAAUGUAUUCUCUUGCUUCUCUUUUCAA
This is a non-coding RNA of Camelina sativa (false flax), 1592 nucleotides long. The record is from RefSeq and is a predicted model, not a curated record. Lineage: Eukaryota; Viridiplantae; Streptophyta; Magnoliopsida; Brassicales; Brassicaceae.